GACGAACGCUGGCGGCGUGCUUAACACAUGCAAGUCGAACGGAAAGGCCCUGCUUGCCGAGUACUCGAGUGGCGAACGGGUGAGUAACACGUGGGUGAUCUGCCCUGCACUUCGGGAUAAGCUUGGGAAACUGGGUCUAUUACCGGAUAGGAGCCAUCUUUAGUGUGGUGGUUGGAAAGUUUUUUCGGUGUAGGAUGAGCUCGCGGCCUAUCAGCUUGUUGGUGGGGUAAUGGCCUACCAAGGCGGCGACGGGUAGCCGGCCUGAGAGGGUGUACGGCCACAUUGGGACUGAGAUACGGCCCAGACUCCUACGGGAGGCAGCAGUGGGGAAUAUUGCACAAUGGGCGCAAGCCUGAUGCAGCGAGGCCGCGUGGGGGAUGAAGGCCUUCGGGUUGUAAACUCCUUUCGCUAGGGACGAAGCUUUGUUGUGACGGUACCUAGAUAAGAAGCACCGGCUAACUACGUG
Molecule: ribosomal RNA, 466 nt
Filed under: uncultured bacterium
Lineage: Bacteria
Description: partial 16S ribosomal RNA
Rfam family: Bacterial small subunit ribosomal RNA
Source: RNAcentral